GAGUUUGAUCGUGGCUCAGAUUGAACGCUGGCGGCAUGCCUUACACAUGCAAGUCGAACGGCAGCACGGGAGCUUGCUCCUGGUGGGCGAGUGGCGAACGGGUGAGUAAUGCAUCGGAACGUAUCCUGGAGUGGGGGAUAACGUAGCGAAAGUUACGCUAAUACCGCAUAUUCUGUGAGCAGGAAAGCGGGGGACCUUCGGGCCUCGCGCUCUUGGAGCGGCCGAUGUCGGAUUAGCUAGUUGGUGAGGUAAAGGCUCACCAAGGCGACGAUCCGUAGCAGGUCUGAGAGGAUGAUCUGCCACACUGGAACUGAGACACGGUCCAGACUCCUACGGGAGGCAGCAGUGGGGAAUUUUGGACAAUGGGGGCAACCCUGAUCCAGCCAUGCCGCGUGAGUGAAGAAGGCCU
This 409-nucleotide ribosomal RNA is filed under the name bacterium enrichment culture clone ALO1_GLFRUDD03FX8N8. RNAcentral describes it as "bacterial SSU rRNA". It matches the Rfam family "Bacterial small subunit ribosomal RNA", at positions 9 to 417 of the family's 1533-position model. RNAcentral also lists the same sequence under 3 other names. The record is from RNAcentral.